CAGUCGCCGCGGUAAUACGUAGGGUGCAAGCGUUAAUCGGAAUUACUGGGCGUAAAGCGUGCGCAGGCGGUUGUGUAAGACAGGUGUGAAAUCCCCGGGCUUAACCUGGGAACUGCGCUUGUGACUGCACAGCUAGAGUAUGGCAGAGGGGGGUGGAAUUCCACGUGUAGCAGUGAAAUGCGUAGAGAUGUGGAGGAACACCGAUGGCGAAGGCAGCCCCCUGGGCCAAUACUGACGCUCAUGCACGAAAGCGUGGGGAGCAAACAGGAUUAGAUACCCCUGUAGUCCCUGUCUCUUAUAC
This 301-nucleotide ribosomal RNA is filed under the name uncultured bacterium. Its description in RNAcentral is "partial 16S ribosomal RNA". It matches the Rfam family "Bacterial small subunit ribosomal RNA", at positions 509 to 807 of the family's 1533-position model. The record is from RNAcentral.